Long non-coding RNA from Pecten maximus, 610 nucleotides. RefSeq lists it as uncharacterized. NCBI's taxonomy places the organism in Eukaryota, Metazoa, Mollusca, Bivalvia, Pectinida, Pectinidae. The transcript is spliced from 2 exons. The record is from RefSeq and is a predicted model, not a curated record.
UUUCGCGCUCAAAGACUUGUACGUGAACCGGAUGUGUGACCGGAUAUAGGAAAAAGGACAUUCCAGAACGUGCGGUGUAAACACGUCAACAUGCAGAUGUAGCGGCACAACACCGCGGCUACUUACUCAUUUAUUGGACAUAAAUACGCAAACUACAGCUUGCGUUUAACCCAUUGGUGAGGAUAGACCAUAAUGUGGUGUGGAUGAUCCUGGAAGGAUCAUGGUCAGAACAGAGUCCUGACAGGGACAUAUGCCAGACUGAUGUGUGGUGGAGCGAGGUGGCCUGGGUACUGUGGUUGCGACUCACAGCCAGAACCUUGAUAGACAGCCAUGAGUGGUAUUCUUUUCUGGCAAUAUAACAAUUGUUCGUGAUGAGGCUUGAUGGUGCCGUCUUGUGGAGAGAACUGGGUUCUUGUUGACACUCCAUGGUGGAAAUCUGCCCACCAGUGUAGACUAUUUAGGUGACCUCAUAGACAGUGAUGGAAAUCUGCCCAUUCCUUGAGUGAACCAUUUAUUUGUGAUAUAUGUUCUUAUUAAAUGUGUGAAAGUGAGUGUGGAUGUGCAGUUGUUCAUAGUGUAUAUUGUAAUUAAAUGUUGUAAAUAAUGUAAA